UAGGGAAUCUUCGGCAAUGGACGAAAGUCUGACCGAGCAACGCCGCGUGAGUGAAGAAGGUUUUCGGAUCGUAAUACUCUGUUGUUAGAGAAGAACAAGGACGUUAGUAACUGAACGUCCCCUGACGGUAUCUAACCAGAAAGCCACGGCUAACUACGUGCCAGCAGCCGCGGUAAUACGUAGGUGGCAAGCGUUGUCCGGAUUUAUUGGGCGUAAAGCGAGCGCAGGCGGUUUCUUAAGUCUGAUGUGAAAGCCCCCGGCUCAACCGGGGAGGGUCAUUGGAAACUGGGAGACUUGAGUGCAGAAGAGGAGAGUGGAAUUCCAUGUGUAGCGGUGAAAUGCGUAGAUAUAUGGAGGAACACCAGUGGCGAAGGCGGCUCUCUGGUCUGUAACUGACGCUGAGGCUCGAAAGCGUGGGGAGCAAACAGG
Molecule: ribosomal RNA, 429 nt
Filed under: Gemmatimonadota bacterium
Lineage: Bacteria; Pseudomonadati; Gemmatimonadota
Description: Gemmatimonadetes bacterium partial 16S ribosomal RNA
Rfam family: Bacterial small subunit ribosomal RNA
Source: RNAcentral